AGUGAACGCUGGCGGUAGGCCUAACACAUGCAAGUCGAACGGCAGCACAGUAAGAGCUUGCUCUUACGGGUGGCGAGUGGCGGACGGGUGAGGAAUACAUCGGAAUCUACUUUUUCGUGGGGGAUAACGUAGGGAAACUUACGCUAAUACCGCAUACGCCCUACGGUUGAAAGCAGGGGAUCUUCGGACCUUGCGCGAUUGAAUGAGCCGAUGUCGGAUUAGCUAGUUGGCCGGGUAAAGGCCCACCAAGGCGACGAUCCGUAGCUGGUCUGAGAGGAUGAUCAGCCACACUGGAACUGAGACACGGUCCAGACUCCUACGGGAGGCAGCAGUGGGGAAUAUUGGACAAUGGGCGCAAGCCUGAUCCAGCCAUACCGCGUGGGUGAAGAAGGCCUUCGGGUUGUAAAGCCCUUUUGUUGGGAAAGAAAAGCAGCAGGUUAAUACCCCGCUGUUCUGACGGUACCCAAAGAAUAAGCACCGGCUAACUUCGUG
RNAcentral lists this ribosomal RNA (492 nucleotides) under uncultured bacterium. RNAcentral's name for it is "partial 16S ribosomal RNA". It matches the Rfam family "Bacterial small subunit ribosomal RNA", at positions 29 to 507 of the family's 1533-position model. The record is from RNAcentral.